RNAcentral lists this long non-coding RNA (12819 nucleotides) under Daucus carota (carrot). Its description in RNAcentral is "long non-coding RNA (DCAR_LNC002944)". Lineage: Eukaryota; Viridiplantae; Streptophyta; Magnoliopsida; Apiales; Apiaceae. The record is from RNAcentral.
CUGAUAGUUUGGCUCUAAUGAAGCACAAGCCUGUUUUAUAAGUUCAAGCCAUGAAAAAUGCAACAGAUAUAUUAGGUUGGACAUCAUGAGUCGCACAUUUAAACAAAAAAAAAAAGUACAGAUAAUAGUACAAUUAUAUUAGAGGACCAAAAUUUUAGAGAAACAAAGAUACCACCUUGCGAAUUGCAUCAAGUUCAUACAGAAGAACUUGAUAGAACUGCCCCUCACUAACACCAUCCCUGCAGUUUGCUCAUCAUUAGGACACGACAAUUACAAGUACCAUACAAGCUCACUAUAACACUGAGUAAUUAAUAGAUACCUAUAGAAUAUAAUGCGCUGGGGUUUCUGUCCAGUUGAUCUGCGGAAUGAAAUAAGGAGUUCCCUAUAGCACAGAAACAAAACUGAUACUGUAAAGAGCUUGAUUUAAAAAUUACCAUAAACAGUACACAUAGGUCUAUUAUCAUUUAUUAUUCAGUCAGAUAAGAGGUUGGGAGAGGAACAUACUUGAUCAUGCCGCCUGAUACAGUUCCUCUGUUUGGAUCCUGCCAGCUCUUGUACAGAUCCUGAAUAAGCUCUUGUCUGUGGGCUUGAGCACAAACCAAUCCAGCAUACUUUGUUAUCUCUGGCCAAUCUUGUGAAGCAACCACCUGAAUUUUAUAUAACAAAUCUCAUAUCAACUUUAAGCAACAAUAGAUUAUAAGACAUUAAAAAUAAACACAUAAUCCUGUCAAAUACAGGCAAAUCAUAUUAACACGUGCAAACAUUAACUAAAGUACGUAUAAGCAGUUCUACAAAAUUUUAUAUCAUACUGCUGCAAUCGAGGGGCUGGAAUCUUCUCCAGGAUGAGGAUGGGUGACGUCAGCACCAAAAAUGAUUGUAGGGCGGUCACUGACAAGUGGAAUACGCCUCGAUAAAGCAUCAACAAGAACUGUAUUUCUUCCCCCGACUUUGACGUUAAUCUUUAAAGCCACAUUCGCUAGGUAUUGCUUGCUCAUCUUGAAGACAUGUUUUGUCAAGCAACACUGUGAAACUAUUCCAAGGUCGGUCUCACAAAUUCUCUUUAAAUCGCCUUCAUGAAUAGUCAAAAACAGCGAUCAGUGAGACAGAUACCAUUACACAGAAGUGUGAAUGCAAGCAAAACCACGGAUAGACAAUCACACACACAGUCAAUAUAAGCACUGGACCUUUACAAUCAUCAUAAUAAGAAUAUUGAAAAAAGUUUACGUACCAUAUAGUGAGCCAUUAUUAUCUGGAAGAAUGACAAUCAAUAGGUCAAGCUCCUUCUUCAGUUUCUGUACCUCUUGAAAACGUGAUUUUAACACUCUCUCCACCUGAUCAGUGUGUGCGCCGGUAACUGGAAGCACCGGAUUGGGAUUGAACCGCUACACAGGAAAAUAUAGUUCAGUUUUAGUUCAUAUACUUGCCAAUAUGUCGAUAACAUCAACACAAACAGAGGUCUUCCGAUAUAUACCAUUCCCGAUAUUGUGCACAUCUGUGCGAGUUCUGAACAAAACCCGCUAGCCAAAUUAUCUUGAACAUUUCGUGCAAAGUUCACACACAUCCAAUUAUUAACAAUUCCUCCAUCAACCAUUUUCUGAAGCAAACAUUAAUAAAUUAGAACAAAACGGUACACGGUGUGCAACUUUUAAUCAGUGUUUGUUGUACUGUUCCAUACAGGAACAAAUGCAAUGCCCUGACUUCAAAGGAACAGAUUCAAGCAAUAUUGUCAAUUACAUUUUUAUUCUUCAAUAAAAAAGGAUAAAAAUCACGAUCACAGAAUGCCAAUGUAAUUGCAGUCUGCGUCGCCUACACUACCAUAUCAGAAAUACAAAACUUGCCUUGUUCAUCAUAUUCCACUGGCCAACUUGGGGUAGACAUCGUGUCUCACGUCCAGUCUCAUGGUAUUUUAGCUGGCACAAUAAUGACUCAUUCACUAAACCAACCAAAACAAUUCGUCUUUCGGUAUAUGACUACAAAAAACUAAAUGAAGAUAUAUAUUAAGUGAAUACCCAUGGUGGAGAGAGAAUUCUGGCUUCUACAGAGGCUAGUUUGUCACUAAUUUUGAUACCAAACUCCUUCGCAUAGGGAUCAUCAGCGUAUGCAUUGUGCUGAACAGUCUGAAUAACAGGCACAGUAGAGAGAGUACAACAUGAGUGCUGACUUGUAUUAUUAAGUUUUUAAAAACAAAAGACCUGACUGAACCACAUACAUUAGUAGACCAAGUUAAAAUCAAGUCACAUGCAUAUACAAAAGAUAGAACAUUACAAGUCAACUCAGAAGCACAAAUCAAAUGAACAUCUAGCAAGCGACAAAGUACAAGACAGCUCCCAAACACCAAAACAAUACAUUACUGCAAAAUACAGAAGAACUUCUGCAUUAACUAACCCGUAGAAUGUCGGCCUCCCUGUCACUAGGACGUUGACAAGUAACUUUAAGCAAUGCAGUGAUUUGCCUCUCGUUUAAUCUUUUUGAGUACCUCUGCCCCUCCACAAUUUUGCAAACCUGGACCAAUAAUUACAUGAGUACACCUGUAGCUUGAAAAAAUUAGAAGUAGAGAGCUAAAAGCACAAACCUCCAUGGGCAGAUAAUUUGGCCUUCGCUGGUUACCGACUUCCAGGCAAGGUAAUUGAGUUUGCUUGAGGAUAACAUCAUAAGUCUCGCGGAAAUACUCAACCACAGCUUUCAUUGUACCUCUUUCAUCAACUGGAAACCUAAAAUGUAGGAAAAACAGUACCAUGUCAUCCAAGGCAAACAUAACACCAGUGACUAUUACCAAAGUUGGAGAAAAUGCAAGUAACUCAUACGUGAGCCCCCUGGUCGCCUGUGAUGUUAAACCAGAAAUACAAUACUUCCUGCGCAUUGUUCCACGGUGCAAAACCUCAACCUUCACUCCCUUCAAGGCCUUUCUGAUCUGGCAUGCAAAGGGAAGAAUUAAAAUUGAUACCAUCAGCACAAUGUGAACAGAAGAAAGCUGAACAUUAUACAGAGCAAACCACAAAAUAAAAUAAGACGCACUAACAGGAGAUACUUAAAGAGGAAUAUAUUUAGGCCUAAGGGGGAAACAUAAUUCAUAAAAAGACACAGAGGACAAGAUAUACUUGUUUAUACUGUAUAUCCAAUCCAAGCUGCAGUACAACACAAGAUAAUGCAUAAUUUACAUCACACCAUAUUCAGGAACAAUAUCCUUUUUGCUCAUAAAAUGGAAGCAUUAUUAUGCAUGAAUAUAUUAAACUUCAAAACACCAAUAGACACCACAACUCCCGAACUUUUGCUAUACAGCACCCAUACAUUGUGAAAUACUAAUGAUAAUACAUAAAAACACCAAUGACAACCUAUGUUAGGAUCUACCAGUAAUAGACUGUAUAUGUAAAUUUUGACUAAUAGUAAUCUAAAUAAUAAAGUGUUAUCUAGCAAGUAGUAGGCAGAAUAAUGAAAUUAGACCUUCACACGAUCAGCAUCUGACAGUGGCCUGGACGAAACGUCCCUAUUCAACAGCUGUGAGGCAAACUCGAUAACAGGAAGAGGCUCAAUAAAUGCAGUCGAGGACAUAUCUGUAGCAUGAAAGUCAUCUUUCAUUGUCAAUACAAAAGGACAUUAUGGAAAAAGAAUUCGCUGAUGAUCAUGUGAUUGAUGAUAACAUUAAAAAAACAGAACUAAAAUAAACGAAACAAAACACAUACCAAUAUUAAGAGACAAUCCCAUCUGCGUAGGGCGUAUACUUUGAUAAAAGCCUCUCCAGCUUUCCAAGCCUUCACCCAGUGGCUGCCUUUGUCGAAUAUCAGCUGAAUAAAAUGAGCGCCCCACAGGGGAAUACCUAUCACAUAAAAGCCGAAUAAUUAUUACAAAUUGCUGUACAUUGUAUCUAUACACAUACAUCAAUAAUUCUACAUAAAAACACAUGAGUAUUGAUGUGAAUAUUCAUAUAGCCUUUACCUGGCAGUAGGCAAUUCCCUCAGAACAAUGUCCAACACCUGCAAAGCUUCUUGGGGCGCGUCAGCCUGACUGCCCUUUAAAAACAUUUCCAGGUGGUGCAGGUCAGCUCGAGAAGCUAAUUUGAUUACAACUUGGAAGUCCCUUUCUCUUCUGCAUAUAAGACAGCCAGUAUUCAAUUGUUAAAUCAACACUUACUUGAAGAUUUACGAACCUAUGAUUAAUGCAAGGAGGCAAUCCAGAAUAUACCUGGCACCACCUGACCCGUCAUCUUCGUCGGUCAGAACUAUUUUGAACUCCUUGUUGACAAAAGGAAGAGGCCCUGCUGUAUACAAACUCUUUCUACCAUCAUACGCAGGGAGACGCUUCCCAAGAUGAGAUUCUCUAUACAGUUUGACAAGCUGUUCCAUCACAGCACGAUUGACACCACGUGAACCGACUUCAGGGGAGAUUGUUACCUAAAUAUGAAGACCGGAUCUAUUGGAUGAGAAGAUUGCACUACAGCAACGAUAUAUAAAAUUAUUUUUACACACACACACACAAAGCAAAUAAUGCAAAUGAACGUCAGUUCUUGGUGAAGAGUUCAUAUUCCGGACUGGAGGAAUUUAAGAAAAAUUUCUAGGUAACAAACGAUGCAAGCACCUACUUCAGAGGUUUCAUUUAAUAUUAAAGACAAUAAGAGUAAGACAUAUAAUAAGUAUAUAACAAAACAAGAGUACAUUCAAUCACACUCACAUCAUACUGAUGCAAAUCCUUAUCAGGCAACUCUGCAAAGAAAUGGUUGGCCUUUACAACGAUACGAGAACCAGUGCUACCCCUGCCUGGACGGAGUGGAAAUCUAAGAGCCUUGCUAGAAACAGGAUUAGGCUGAGUAUCCCCGAUAGAUGAGGAUUCAGACUUCAAAGAAAUAUGCUGAAGCUGCUGCGUCACUUGCGAAGAUGAUGCUUCAACUGCACUAACAGAAGAGCUACCUUCUGACUGUGUCACUUCAGCCGGUAUAAUGCGGGGCAUGGGAUGAGUCGAUACCCCUGCUUGAGGUGGAGCCUGGGAAGCUUGGUGCAGCUCGGGGACUGAUGGCCUAGCACCAGCAGAAGGUACAAAUCCUCCACGACCACCACCAGCUACGCCACCGCCACGGUGUUGGGGCAAUGGUCCACGUGGUUGCUGCUGUUGGGCACCCCUGCCUUGCUGCUGAUAAAGAGAUUCACCAGUAUACUGCUGAGAAGCCAUACCACCCCGCGGGCCACCGCGUCCACCUUCAUAUCCUCCACGUCCUUGGUAUCCUCCUCCCUGUUGUGGGGCAAAGCCUCUACCACCUGGACCCUGCUGCUGUGGGGCAAAGCCUCUACCUCCAAGAACCUGCUGCUGUUGGGGAAAGCCUCUACCUCCUGGUCCUUGCUGCUGUUGUGGAUAGACUUGAGGUGCACCUCGUCCUUGCUGCUGUGGAGGGUGUUGAGGUGCACCCUGUCCAGCAUUAGAAUCCUGAGGCUCCGAGCUCUCUCCCCCACCAGCCUGGUCAGUUCUCCUCUUUCUUACCAUGAUGGUCACUACAUCCAGUGAAUACAAAGAGCAACAUUGAUUAUUUGAACUUACAAACGUUAUGUUAUGUAACAAUACUCAAAGACCCAACUGCUAUUGACAGGCAACGACAAGCAAAACCUGAGAAACCAACCACAUAGAAUUUGGCAGAAUGUACAUUUAAGACAGUAAUCUAAAUAAAUCCUUAACAUCAUAAUUUCAAACUUAUAAAAACAGAAAGAACAGCCAUAUACGGGGGUACGGACAGUUAUUAAGACCCUCCUUAAAAUAUUAGUACACAAAAAACAACGGCAACAGAUACAUUUGUACAAUAAUAGAUAGAUAUAUGGGCAUUAAAACAAUAAACCAUGUAAGCCAUCAAAGUAAGGAAUUGGUUGUGCAUAUGCAAGUAAAUAACCUAACCUAAAUACUUCCCUUCAACUUUAUAAAAAAAAUAUAGAAAAAUGGUCAAAUCGCAUUGAAGAUGUAAAAAGAACAACAAAAUUAAAAUUUCAUAAUAUGAUUAAACAAACACCUCAAAUCAAUACAGAUCUAAGCAAAUAAACUGUAAAAAACAUACAAAUCAACUAGAUCUAACUAAAAGAAAUACAAUCGGUAAAAAUUAACGAGAUACAACCGAAAAACAAUGUAUAGUCUAUUUAAAAAAGGGGGCACAGGAGACCAGUAAUGGACAUCUCAUAAAAUGAUUACACCAAUACCUCAAAUCAAUACAGAUCUAAGCUAAUACGCUGUGAUAAACCUAAAAAUCAACUAGAUCAUCCAACUACGCAUAUACAAUUGGUAAAAAUUAAUGAGAGUAACCAAAAACAAUGUAAAAGCUAGUUAAAAAAGGGAGGAUGGGAUACCAGUAAAUGCACGUCAACCACUCUUUGAUGGAAAAAUACUAUAUCUACCAACCGCACUACAGAGCCGCACACCCGCUACCUACAAUCCUAUAUCUAUAUUAUACUAUUAAAGCCGGAACAAUUAAAGUUUUGAUUGGUUGGUUGGUCGGUCAGUAUUUGGGCCGGUUAUGGGCCUCUUUAUUUUAUAAAAUGUUUUAAUGAGUUUUUUUUAUUAUAACUAAAACACAUUUAAACAUUCGCUUAAAACAUAUCUCUCGGGCCUGUUUAUUUUUAAGUCUUUUAACGGGCCUAAGUAUCAAAAUUUAUUUAACAUGACCAAUAAAAAUACAUUAACCCAAAGAGGCCUAUUAAAAUUUAAUAAUCUUUUAGUUAAAAUAUGUAUAUUAUUACAACAUAAAUGUCUCUUCGAAAUAAAACAAAAUAUUAUAACAUACCCGUGCAUCGUACGGGCUAUAAGCUAAUAUAUAUGUGAAGUGUAUUACCAAACAACAGGUCUACUACUUUGUUUUAUUUAUCAGAUUAGAGGGUCGGAAAUGAACAUACUUGAUUAUGCCACCUCUCAUAGUCCCUCUUUUUGGAUCCUCCCAGCUCUUGUAAAGAUCCUGGAUAAGCUCUUGUCCAUGUGCUUGGGUACAAACCAAACCAGCAUACUUUGUUAGAUCUGGCCAAUCCUGGGAGGCAACAACCUGGAUUUCAUACAACAGAACUUGUAUCAAGAUUAUGAAACAAUAAUAGAUAAUAACAUUUUAAUAUUUAAAUAGAGGCGACAACACAUAUUGUCACGUGAAAACAUUGAACGAAGUGUGUAUAAGUAGCUCUUAAAAACUUCAUAUCAUACUGCUGCAAUUGAGUAGAUAGAACCUUCUCCAGGAUGAGGAUGGAUGACAUCAGCACCAAAGAUAAUCGUAGGACGUUCGCGAAAAAGAGAAUGUGGAUGUAGACCCUGCACCUGAGGGUGUGGAGGAUGCUGAAGAACAUUUUGUCUGGCACCAGAAUCCUGGUGCUCUGAGUUCUCUCCCUCACCCGGAAGUUCAGUUAACCUCCUUUCUGCCCUGAUGAUAACUGUGUCCAGUGAAUACAUAUGGCAAAAUUAAAUUAUAGGGAUUACAAAAUGAUAAUGACAACAGUAAGACAAAGCACUAUUAGAUACAGCCAUACAGGUGAUAGCCGGCAAUAAUAUGAGAAAACACACGUAACUUGACAGAGCUUCCAAUAAAGUCAGCAAGCUAAUUAAAUACACAAAAACUAAAUAUUCUCCCUGCACGAGUAAUCAACUCUCAUUCAUAUGUAAGACAAGCAUAAGGAGCUUGCAACUCUAAUACGUAAACUGAACACCCAAACACACACAAGUUGUAUACACAAAAAGAUAGUUUUAAUAAUCAAACAUGUAUACAAUCCCUUGCACCAAUUUUAACACUAGAAUGUUUAAAACUUAACAGCUUCAAGAAUUAAAACAAUAAAUAGCAAUAAAUCAAGAUCAAAAUCAGAAAAUAUGUUUUACAUGCACUAACUUGACUAUCAAAAAUCCCUAACAUCAUAAUUUCAAACUUAUAUAUACAGAAAGAACAGCCAUAUAUGGAGUAUGGACAUUUAUUAAGACCCUCCUUAAAAUAUUAGUACACAAAAAACAAUGGCAAAAGAUACAUAUGUACAAUAAUAGAUAGAUAUAUGAGUAUUAAUGUGAGCCAUCAAAGUAAAGAAUUGGUUGUGCAAGUAGAUAUCCUAAACUUAAUACUUCCCUUCAACUUUAUAAAAAAAAAUAUGAAAAAAAUGGCCAAAUCGCAUUGAAGAGUAAAAAGAACAACAAAUUUAAAUUUUUAUAUAAUAAUUAAACGAAAACCUCAAAUCAAUACAGCUCUGAGCAAAUACACUAUAAAAAACAUACAAAUCAACUAGAUCUAGCUAAAAGAAAUACAAUCGGUAAAAAUUAACAAGAUACAACCGAAAACAAUGUAAAAUUUAUUUUAAAAAGGGAGCAUAACAGACCAGUAAUGUAAAUCUCAUAAAAUGAUUAAACUAAUACCUCAAAUCAAUACAGAUCUAAGCAAAUAAGCUGUGAUAAACCAAAAAAUCAACUAGCUCAUCCAACUAGACAUAUACAAUGGGUAAAAAUUAAUGAGAGUAACCGAAAACAACGUAAAAGCUGGUUAAAAAUUGGAGGAUGGGAAACCAGUAAAUGCACGUCGACCACUCGUUGAUGGAAAAAUACUAUAUCUACCAACCGCACUACAGAGCCGUACACCCGCCUAGUUAUUUUAUAACAUGUUUUAAUGUGUUUUUUAAUCAUAACUAAAACACAUUUAAACAUUCGUCUUAAAACAUAUCUCUCGGGCCUAUUUAUUUUUAAGUCUUUGAACGGGCCUAAUUAUCAAAAAUUAUUUAACAUGCCCAAUAAAAAUUCAUUAACCCGAAGAGGCCUAUUAUAAUUUAAUAAUCUUUUAGUUAAAAUAUGUAUAUUAUUCCAUAUAAAUGUAUCUUCAAAACAAAAUAAAAUAUUAUAACAUAUAUAACAAAAGAGAAAAUAAUUCAAGUCACCCGUGCAUCGUACGGGCUAUAAGCUAAUAUCUACGUGAAGUUGUAUUAUAUGUAGUACUAAUUAAAUUGUAGAGCCUCUAGAAUUAUCAACCACCAAAAUGGCUUGUUUGGGAACCUGGAUUUCAUUUGAUAUUUUGGAUUUGAUCAAAUAACCUGUUUGAGAAUUUGAAUUUGGAUUUCAUUUCACAUUCAAAUAUUAGUAUAAAUUUGAGAAAUUGAAAUUACAACUCAAAUCAUGUCAUUUGAAAUCCAUCGUUUCAAAUGAAAUGCAUGUUUCCAAACGGCCCCUAAGAUUAAUUAGAAAUGAGUGGCUUAGAUAUUAAAUAACUGAACGGCAAACUAGUAUAUAUUACUACAGUGGGACUGCUUGUGAUUAAAGUGAUGUUACAUGACAAAGUAGUUGGUUAAGUCUUGAUUUCGAGUAUAGCUUUGUGUAUUGCAAUUAAGCUUAUCAGAAUAGGUUGUCAGAAUAUGAUGAUGAUGGAUACUAGGCAGUAGAACGUAGUGUAUUUGUUUUGAGUAUAAUGAUAUUUGUGGGACUAGUUGUAGUAGAGAAUGUAAAGGACAAUGUCCCUAUGAAUGUAGCAAUACAGAAUCUUUGUAUACAACUCUAAGCACAUGGUACAGCACUAAAUUAGUCACAUGGCUAUGCUCAAAACUGGUACUUCAUUUUACAUAUGAAAUCAGUUGAUAUGGCAACUUAAAGCAUGCAACAGUUUUCAAAUAUUAGUGUACUACACACUAGAACAUAGAUUUAUCUAAAACAUUAGUGCCCAAUGGAAGGAUAGCCUACUAAAAGACUAGAAUUUGAACUGUCUAUAUUAAAAGAAACCACAGAGUUUGAAACAUGUCAUGAGCUUAUUAACACCAAAAACACAAAUCCACAGACGAAAGCGCUCAGGACUUCUGCAAAAUCUUAGCCACUAUAUAUUUGAUAUUAAAAAAGUGGUAUGGUACCAUACCUUCCCACGCAUCCCCUCCACGUCCACCUUAAACACAAAAGAACAAAGCCUAUUUGCUACUUUGUCCAUCACCAAAUUCACUGCAAAUAUAGAUAAUAGCAAGCUUAAUAGCAAAGGCACUUAGAAUGUAUCCAAUCACAAACAUGGCCAUUGUAAAUAUUCCGAUUCAGACCUUUUAUGGGUUUCCCAAAAUUUAUAGAAGCAAUUUCUCCCACCAUCAUGAGAAGUCCGAAAUGGAAGUACUGUGAGGAAAUAAAAAAAAAACAUCAACACAUUCUUCAUUUGAGUUAAUUGGCAUUGCUUCAACUAUAAAAAGCGCUAGUAUGGGUGUAACUAUUCCAUUUUCUACCAAUAUAGGAAUAAUUUUUCUUUUUACCUCCUACUCAUUCUUUCACAAAAUUGAUCAUAAAAAUGGGGCACUCUAUCAUUGUUUUCACACUCUUCUAUUUCCAUCCACAGAAUUUUCCCCUUUCCAUUUUAUUCCUUCCAAUAAUAAAACGCAUUAUAGUUAUCAUCUAUAUACUAUUUAUGAUCACAAAUUCAAAGUAGAACUUGAUCCUAAGGAUAAAACAAAUAAUAUUCAUUUUUACAUUGCAGUGGUAUCUCUUAUGAACUCGGUACUAUCUGACUGAAAGUUUGCACACUAUCUCAUUUUUCACUCGUAUCAAUUUUCUUCGAUUUCAUUCACUUCCAAUUAAUUCAAAUUCACAUAUAGUCCAUAAUAUUCAGGCAUACAAAAUAGAAAACGUUCAAAUAUUGGCUGCACUGUGAAAAUAAUUCCAUAUUAUGAUAUUAUCCUGCGAAAUCAAACAUACAACACACGCACAUUUAUAGAGAGAGGGGGGGGGAGGGAGGAAAAGAGAGAGGGGAGGAGAGGGAGAGNNNNNNNNNNNNNNNNNNNNNNNNNNNNNNNNNNNNNNNNNNNNNNNNGAGAGAGAGAGAGAGAGAGAGAGAGAGAGAGGGAGGGAGGGAGGGGGAGAGUACAAACUAAUCUCGAAAGUCGAAAUGGAUGAUAAUUUGCAUCGAAAUCGAGUUGUUGAAAUAACGUUGCUACCGCCAUUUUUCCUGAUCGAGCUUGUUGUAGACUUGUAAUGUUGUGCACUUGUGCGGGUAAUAUCCAGUCGAGUCAGGGUUUGGCUUUUGAUAAAAUGCCCAGAUAUUUCCAUCUUCGAAUAUUUUCGUAAUGUAUUUAAAAGAUUAAAAUCUCGAGUAUACUCAGGUAUAUAUAUAAAUCAAUCAGAACAUUUGGCUUGAAAUUUUUAUUUUCAUAUUCAGGUCUUGUUAUCGUAUGACGGUAUGAGUAAAAAUAUCCAGAUUUAUUCAUUUUUUAAAUAAUUUUAAAAUCAACAUUUUUUUUAAUAUAUGAAUAUUUUAAAUUUGGAUCAGCUACACUUAUAUAUAAAAGAUCCAGAUUUGAAUUCUAAUUCUGGCAGCUAUUAAAAUGUACAAAGUUCAGUUAAAAUUAUCUAGGUGCACUCCAGACACCAAACGCAAUAUAUAUAUCCCAUGCUAACUAUAUAAUCAUUUGCAUGUUUUUUUUUUUUUUUUUUGAACCCAUAAUCAUUUGCAUGUUAAUAAUUAAUUGGUAAUUGUAUUUCAUUUUAUCUUAGCCUUUUUGUCAAUCUAAUCUUCCACUUUCCACAUUUACUAAAAACACUCAUGUACAAGCUCCUUGCACCAGAAAACUAAACAAAUAUCUUAAAUUAAACAAACUAGUAGAAAAAGAUAUAUUCUAAUCAACUCUUCACCGAACUCAUAUUUGUUUAAUAAUUCGAAUUCGAGCGGCAAUAACUCUCUUCUAAGUAAUGCAGAUCAAAGGAGUUAAGAGAUUCAAAAACAUCAAAAGUAAAGUUCAAAGCAACAGCAUAAAGAGCUACUAUCACACGUUUUCCGGUUCUCAAACAUUUCUAGCAAUAAAACAUAACCCUCUUCACAUUUUCUUUAAGAGCGGGCAAGGGCCUCACAGCUGCAUUAGCAUUUGCUGCCCUGGUGCUUCUUCCAACCCCCAUUCCUCCACGACCACCAGCAGCACCACUUGCCAUUGACUCACUAUCAGAUGUUUCAGGUUCCAUAUAGAAGCGAGCUCGAAAUGCUGCCAAGUGAGCAUAAUAUGCUGGAGGAACUGUAAAAAAAAACAUGACUCGUUAAAGCAAGUCGAGUAAAAUGACAACAAUCAGAUAAAAAUUCUGAAAUAGAACCAGUAAACAUCGCUACUCACCUAUUGAGACAGAUCUUGUGCACCUGGCAUAACUGCAAGACACACAAUGAAGCCAGUAAAAUGCAGUAACUUUACAUAUUAAUUUUAAUAUGUUAUUCAUGAGCAAACAAUAAUAAAGGUGAACUUACGUGUAACAUAGAUUGUUAGUGAGGGACUGUAGUCCAUCUGCCGAGAACUUGUUCUCAUCCCAAAGAACAUGGUAAUGUGCUGGUCGGCUAGUUCCCUGUGGCAUAAAGGAAUAAUUAGAUCAGACAAUUGCCCUUGAGUCCCACUCAUUUUGUCCAUAAACCACUUAAAAAUCAACAUGAAUCGUUUACUUGGAUGCCAGCAUGGCUGCAAAGGUAAAAGUCAAACUCCGUUGGGUGACAGAUUUUGGAAUCCACAACAGUCCCUGUUAUUUCACAAGCAGAGAAACACUCUUAAUACUGAUACAGUGUGUAUAACAAUAUAGAUCAAGAUGAAAGGAAAAACAAAGGAAUACCGGGCAAAAUAUUUCCACUCCUAUCAACUGAAUUACGGUCGCGAUGAUUGUUGGCAAACAACCUAGUGUGAUGGCGUUUCUGAACCACAACAAAUGUAACCGGAGGCUGAUAGUUUGGCUCUAAUGAAGCACAAGCCUGUUUUAUAAGUUCAAGCCAUGAAAAAUGCAACAGAUGUAUUAGGUUGGACAUCAUGAGUCGCACAUUUAAACAAAAAAAAAAAGAAGUACAGAUAAUAGUACAAUUAAAUUAGAGGGCCAAAAUUUUAGAGAAACAAAAAUAACACCUUGCGAAUUGCAUCAAGUUCAUAC